GAGGUGCGCCUUUAAUAACUAUGCUUGUAUCUCUUGUUCAGCUAAUGCAAGUGAUCAAGUUUGUGUGCCAUUCUUUAGAAUGUGACAAAAAUCUGUUGUUUCAAUUUCCUUGAUAAGUUCUAGUUUUUACCAUGCCAAUGAUACUGAAGGACCUUGUGGAGGGAGAUGCUUGGUCGAGAAAUGGACACAAUUCAACUAAACCUUAAUUUCAAUCUUAUUGCCACCUAUCUGGAUGCUUUUUCUUUAUUCCACUUGAUUAUUUUUGUAAUUAUUUCUUAUAACUACAAUAGCAGGUAAAAAUGCUAGUUCUGA
RNAcentral lists this unclassified non-coding RNA (312 nucleotides) under Hevea brasiliensis (rubber tree). Lineage: Eukaryota; Viridiplantae; Streptophyta; Magnoliopsida; Malpighiales; Euphorbiaceae. The record is from RNAcentral.